UAUGAACCGUUAUAACCGGCGAUACCCGAAUGGGGAAACCCAGUGUGACUCGUCACACUAUCAUUAACUGAAUCCAUAGGUUAAUGAGGCGAACCGGGGGAACUGAAACAUCUAAGUACCCCGAGGAAAAGAAAUCAACCGAGAUUCCCCCAGUAGCGGCGAGCGAACGGGGAGGAGCCCAGAGCCUGAAUCAGCAUGUGUGUUAGUGGAAGCGUCUGGAAAGGCGCGCGAUACAGGGUGACAGCCCCGUACACAAAAGCGCAUGUGCUGUGAGCUCGAUGAGUAGGGCGGGACACGUGGUAUCCUGUCUGAAUAUGGGGGGACCAUCCUCCAAGGCUAAAUACUCCUGACUGACCGAUAGUGAACCAGUACCGUGAGGGAAAGGCGAAAAGAACCCCGGCGAGGGGAGUGAAAAAGAACCUGAAACCGUGUACGUACAAGCAGUGGGAGCCCCACCACCAAAGCAUUUGCUGUACCGCGUUGACGGAGCGAAGCGACGUCAAACCGAUAAAACAGCAGUGUAAAGUGAGCCGCAGGGCGCUUUGCGCGACAGCGCAAAGGCAGGCGGUUUCGCGUAGCGAAAGCGAAUGCUUUGGGGUGGGGUGACUGCGUACCUUUUGUAUAAUGGGUCAGCGACUUAUAUUCUGUAGCAAGGUUAACCGAAUAGGGGAGCCGGAGGGAAACCGAGUCUUAAUUGGGCGUUAAGUUGCAGGGUAUAGACCCGAAACCCGGUGAUCUAGCCAUGGGCAGGUUGAAGGUUGGGUAACACUAACUGGAGGACCGAACCGACUAAUGUUGAAAAAUUAGCGGAUGACCUGUGGCUGGGGGUGAAAGGCCAAUCAAACCGGGAGAUAGCUGGUUCUCCCCGAAAGCUAUUUAGGUAGCGCCUCGUGAAUUCAUCUCCGGGGGUAGAGCACUGUUUCGGCUAGGGGGCCAUCCCGGCUUACCAACCCGAUGCAAACUGCGAAUACCGGAGAAUGUUAUCACGGGAGACACACGGCGGGUGCUAACGUCCGUCGUGAAGAGGGAAACAACCCAGACCGCCAGCUAAGGUCCCAAAGUCAUGGUUAAGUGGGAAACGAUGUGGGAAGGCCCAGACAGCCAGGAUGUUGGCUUAGAAGCAGCCAUCAUUUAAAGAAAGCGUAAUAGCUCACUGGUCGAGUCGGCCUGCGCGGAAGAUGUAACGGGGCUAAACCAUGCACCGAAGCUGCGGCAGCGACACUGUGUGUUGUUGGGUAGGGGAGCGUUCUGUAAGCCUGUGAAGGUGUGUCGUGAGGCAUGCUGGAGGUAUCAGAAGUGCGAAUGCUGACAUAAGUAACGAUAAAGCGGGUGAAAAGCCCGCUCGCCGGAAGACCAAGGGUUCCUGUCCAACGUUAAUCGGGGCAGGGUGAGUCGACCCCUAAGGCGAGGCCGAAAGGCGUAGUCGAUGGGAAACGGGUUAAUAUUCCCGUACUUGGUGUUACUGCGAAGGGGGGACGGAGAAGGCUAUGUUGGCCGGG
This 1499-nucleotide ribosomal RNA is filed under the name Salmonella enterica. RNAcentral's name for it is "partial 23S ribosomal RNA". It matches the Rfam family "Bacterial large subunit ribosomal RNA", at positions 89 to 1495 of the family's 2925-position model. The record is from RNAcentral. RNAcentral also lists the same sequence under 1 other name. Lineage: Bacteria; Pseudomonadati; Pseudomonadota; Gammaproteobacteria; Enterobacterales; Enterobacteriaceae.